AGUGAACGCUGGCGGUAGGCCUAACACAUGCAAGUCGAACGGCAGCACAGUAAGAGCUUGCUCUUACGGGUGGCGAGUGGCGGACGGGUGAGGAAUACAUCGGAAUCUACUUUUUCGUGGGGGAUAACGUAGGGAAACUUACGCUAAUACCGCAUACGACCUACGGGUGAAAGCAGGGGAUCUUCGGACCUUGCGCGAUUGAAUGAGCCGAUGUCGGAUUAGCUAGUUGGCGGGGUAAAGGCCCACCACGGCGACGAUCCGUAGCUGGUCUGACAGGAUGAUCAGCCACACUGGAACUGAGACACGGUCCAGACUCCUACGGGAGGCAGCAGUGGGGAAUAUUGGACAAUGGGCGCAAGCCUGAUCCAGCCAUACCGCGUGGGUGAAGAAGGCCUUCGGGUUGUAAAGCCCUUUUGUUGGGAAAGAAAAGCAGCAGGUUAAUACCCCGCUGUUCUGACGGUACCCAAAGAAUAAGCACCGGCUAACUUCGUG
RNAcentral lists this ribosomal RNA (492 nucleotides) under uncultured bacterium. RNAcentral's name for it is "partial 16S ribosomal RNA". It matches the Rfam family "Bacterial small subunit ribosomal RNA", at positions 29 to 507 of the family's 1533-position model. The record is from RNAcentral.